Molecule: ribosomal RNA, 406 nt
Filed under: uncultured bacterium
Lineage: Bacteria
Description: partial 16S ribosomal RNA
Rfam family: Bacterial small subunit ribosomal RNA
Source: RNAcentral
AUUGAACGCUGGCGGCAGGCCUAACACAUGCAAGUCGAACGAGUGGCGGACGGGUGAGUAAUGUCUGUGAAAAUGCCUGAUGGAGGGGGAUGACUACUGGACACAGUAGCUAAUACCGCAUACCUUGGUAUGUGCCCGGAUGGGAUUGGCUAGUAGGUGGGGUAAAGGCUCACCUAUCCGACGAUCCCUAGCUGGGCGGAGAGGAUGACCAGCCACACUGGAACGGAGAUACGGUCCAGACCCCUACGCGAGGCAGCAGUGGGGAAUAGUGCACAAUGGGCGGAAGCCUGAUGCAGCCAUGCCGCGUGGAGGAAGAAGUCCUUCGGGUUGUAAAUGACUUCCAGUUGGGAAGCGUUACCCACCGAAUAAGCAUCGGCUAACUCCGUGCCAGCAGCCGCGGUAAUUC